AGCAUUUCCAGAACUCUCGUCAGCGAGGUAGGACUGAACACGCGCGGUUCUUCGUCUACGUCGCGAAUUGCGACUCGCUAAUCGGAGUCGGCUACAUACGUGUUACGCGAUUAUCAGCAUCAACGACAUGAGCUUGAAUGCGGACGACAGCGUGUUACAUGGAGGAGACAAUACAUGAGAGGACUGACAGAAGAACUGAGAACCGGAGUGUCGUGACAGUGAACCGAGAACCCAGAUUGCAAAUCAUGUGCAUGGCAAAUUGAGCAGUGCAGUGAACCCCGACAUUGUCGCGUCUCUCUUGUGAUUGUUGUUAAGCACGACGCUUCGUGAGACGAAAGUCUCAACCACGGCAGCAAAAUUGAGCUGGAGCUGCACCAACGAGCCGCCGGCCACUUUAUGAGAGCCGGCGGCAACAUGUGCGACGGCUCCUUCACGGAAACCUUGCGCACUAUGCAGGGUAUGACGGGAACGUCGCCAACGGCAGGCGCCGGUGUCGGUCCUAUGGGGGUUGGACUCGGUAGCCCACUCGGCCCAGCAGGCAAGAAAGUACAAGCGGAACACAUCAAACGACCGAUGAAUGCCUUCAUGGUCUGGUCACGGUUGCAGCGGCGGAAGAUAGCACAAGAAAAUCCCAAGAUGCACAAUAGCGAGAUCUCCAAGAGACUCGGUGCGGAAUGGAAACUUCUCUCGGAGGAGCAGAAACGUCCCUUCAUCGACCAAGCGAAGAGGUUACGUGCUCAGCACAUGAAGGAACACCCGGAUUACAAAUACAGACCAAGAAGAAAACCCAAGACCUUGCGCAAGGAAGGCUACCCGUACAGUAUUCCAUACCCCAGCGUGCCCAUGGACGCCCUCCGAGCAGGGAUGGCCGGUAGCAUGGGACAGGCAGGGAUGGGCUCCUAUUACAGCCCUGCGGCAGCUUACGGCCCCCUCUCGGCGGCCAGCAUGGCUGCGGCUGCGGCAGCGGCUGCACAACAAUCGGCUGCCGCCAUGUCCGCCGGUCUCGGGGCACCUGCUCAAGUGGUGAGCUCAAUGGACGCCAUGAAAUAUUCGAUGGAGGCUGACAAGUAUCGCUACAUGCCGCCCAGCAGUCUUGCGAUGAGCAUGUACCCGGAUCCCAAGUACCUGGACUCAAGUCCCAAGACCUAUCUGGACCGAAGCUACUUGGACUCGGCGAAGGCGUACUUCGAGCAGUCGAAGCUCUACAUGGAUCAGAAACCGCCCCUCGUCGACUACAACCGACCCAGCUACGAGCCCAACAAGCUCUACGAGGAGUCCAGCCCGGGUAGCGUCGUCGGCGGAAGUGGACCCACAAGGUCACCGGCCGCCGAGUCGCCGGACACGAGCAAGCAGCACGAAAGAGCGGAGCAAGCCUCCUCUAGCGCGAGCUCGACGUCCACGUCAUCGGCCGCGAGUCCUGGAGCAACUCUACCAGCGUACUAUCCCGGACCGGUCCAGGCUGGCGGAUUGUUGGGCCCGCAAAUGGGCCAGUACGGUGGAUAUCAAACGGCACCGGCCCCGGGAAACGAGUCUUUCCGCCGACCAUUGACAGUCAUCUUCUGACCCGAUAGAACAUAGCUCUGAUCCAUCUUCGAGGAACAGUUGCUGUGAACCCGGUCGAGAGUCGUGAGGCGAUCACUACCGUGGAUUCGGCAGAACGACACGACGACGACGCUCUGGCAGAGGACCUGCCCGAGAGAGAAUCUUAGCAGUCAGAGUUCCGGCUGUCAGAAGAUAUCAUCUUUUGUCCGAACGCGGUAAUGGCGCAUCUGAAGAAGAAAGGAGAUGCCGCGGAUCUCAAUGGACUGUCAUGGCUACGGCGGAUAACACGAAAUGAAAGUGGAACGUUGUGUGUGAUAGUGUUUUAGGAAAACGUUCUCUUUAUUUUACUAGAUGGAUACCCUGGAUUCUGCCAAAUUAUCCGACGACGACUAAUAGGUAGUCACCUUCUCAUCGUAUAACGACUACCACUAACUGACGUGCGCCAAUGAUGAAAUCUUUCCGGAGUGUAUCUUUUGUUCGAUGAAAGCGCCAAUUAUAUUUAAGAAAUUAUAAUAUAUGAGCGGGUCAAGCGCAAUAAAUGAAGAUUUCGCGAGAUAACUGACUGAGAGACUUCAAGAAGAUGCUGUGAAGAAGGCAUUAAAAAAAAAAAACGCGCAAUUAAAAAAUACACAUAUGCAAUUUUAGUUGAAGAAGAAAUUAUUUUCGACGUUAUUAUUUUAACAGUUUAUCGUGUGAAAGAAUCGUUGAUCGAUCUGGAAGAAUUUCAUCAGAGGACUAGAGAAAGAAUCAAAUAUUUUCCUGGUGACGGAUAUGAUCAAUAAUGUCGCUGCGCGAGAGCAGGAAGAGCAACCAGACCAACGGACUGUUCCGAAAGGUAAAGCACGACCAACGAUGAUCGUAACAUUGUUGUAGAUCGCAACGAAGACCGAGAGAACUUCCGCUAUGUCGUCGGCUGACUAGUCUUGACCGAGACGUGUUAAGAAUGCAUUGUACAUAGUCCCUGUGUAAAUAGUGUAGCAAAAACUUUGGCUGUUCCGGGUUUCCGCGCGCGAAUCCGCUUUCUUACGUUCUCCAUCCCCACACAAGGGCCGCACGUGUGUGUGUGUGUGCGUGUGUGUGGUCCUUGAAGAGAAAGCAGUACAAAUGGAAUCGUGUGCGUGCGUGGUAUCGGAAACCUAUCGCGAACACUCGAUCAUUAUGAUGGCAUAAUGAUUUAUCUUUUUCUCGUUUGUCUUCAACCCUCAAUUGGUUAAAGAUAUAUAUUUAAUCAUAAGACCGCUAAUAAAAACGUUGAUUGGACCACAUUUGUGUAGGUUAGCACAAAUUUUAGAAAUUAGUUUCGUUAAGUGACUAUAAUUUCGGAUUGAUCAUUAAACGCAUCUGGUGAUGAGUCGGCAAGAAAGAAGGUGAUAAGUCGAGAAGGAAAAAAGUGACCUAUUGUAUUGUGGCAUACUAAGUCAUUUAUGUGUAUUUGCAUAGUGUCUACUUAUAAUUUAAGAAUUAUAAACUGUAUAUAUUGGUAAAUUUCAAAUUUGUUUAUUUACUUUGGUCACAUUACUUUGGUCAACUCGAGUAUCACCAGGUGUGUUUACGAUUCCAGUCAAUGAGAAAAAAUUAUGUGGGUUGGGAAAU
RNAcentral lists this unclassified non-coding RNA (3135 nucleotides) under Harpegnathos saltator (Jerdon's jumping ant). RNAcentral's name for it is "transcription factor SOX-2, transcript variant X2". The record is from RNAcentral. Lineage: Eukaryota; Metazoa; Arthropoda; Insecta; Hymenoptera; Formicidae.